AUUGAUGUUAACUCCAUUUUGCAGAUGAAGAAACAGGCGCAGAAAUGCAAAGGUCCCACUGAUAACAAAUGGAUCUAUUUCCAAAGCCUGUGUGCUUAAAUGUUAUAUAUACUACCACCCACUGGACUAGUUUUAGUCAUAGCUGUGUCAGAAAUUUACUGAGUGGCUCUGACCAAGUCGCUUAUUUUCCCUUAGUUUCACUUGUCUUUAACUGUGCAAGACUGAAGUUGAACAUUAAAAGGGACUCACAGUUCUGAACUAUAUCUUAUCUAUCUUCCUAAUCUCCAAAACAUUUUUAUCGAAGUCUCAAUUUUUUUAGAAUCUUGAGAAGUCCUCUAUCCUACUGGUAAAAAUUGCUUAUUUGAAGGAAAGUAUCCCAUGAUCUGCCUUUGAAGGCUUCAGUUUUAAUAAGGGAAAACUGAACAUCUUAGGAAGUGUUAAAAAAAGUAAUUGAAAAGACUAAUAGUAUGACAGUAUAAGGAGUUCUGAUGACUCACUUCUCAGUGAAACUGGAGGAAAGUAGUUUUUACAACCACUUGUAACCUUUGGAAAUGGUCCGAAGAACAAACAUUGAGCUACAUUCUCAGCCCAUUAUAUUUUUACUUAUUUUUUGAUACUUGAGAUUGAUCCAAGGGAGCUUUACCACUAAGCUACAUCCCCCAGCUUUUUAAUUUUAUAUUUUGAGACAGGAUUUUGAUAACUUGAUCAAGGACUUACUAAAUUGCUAAGGUUGGCCUCAAACUUGUGAUCCUCCUGCUUAAUCCUCCUGAGUCACUGGGAUUAUAAUCGUACAUCAGCAUGCCCAGAAAAACUGUUUGCAAAAAAUUUAAGUCCAAUUCUGUUCUCCUACUGCAACAUUCUUAUGAUUUGGAUAUGUGGUAUCCCUCUAAAGCUCAUGUGUGAGACAAUGCUAGAAAUUUCAGAGGUGAAAUAUUAGUUUAUGAGAGAUGUAAACUAAUCACUGAUAUGGAUUGACUGGACAAUAAUUGCAGGCAGAUAGAAUGUGGCUGGAGUGGGUAGGUCAUUAGGGGUGUGACUUUGAGGUUUCUGUUUUGUUUCUGGUGAGCAGAACUCUCUUUCUGCUUCCUUGUUGCCCUGACCUAAGCUGCUUUCCUCUGCCAUGCCCUUCUUUUUAAAAAAUUUAUUUAUUAGUUUUAAUCAGUUAUACAAGACAGUAGAAAGCUCUUUGAUUCAUUGCACACAAAUGGAGCAGAAUUUUUUACUUCUUUGGUUGUGCAUGAAGUAACAUCACACCAUUUGUGCAAUCAUACAUGUACCUAGGGUAACCAUGUCCGUCUCAUUCCACCAUCUUUCCUUCCCCUUUGCUCCCUCCUCCUCCCCUUUGCCCCAACCAAAGUUCCUCAACUCUUCCCACCUGCCCCCAUGAGAUUAGCACCCAUUGAUCACAGAAAACAUUCAGCUCCUGUUUUUUUGAGAUUGGCUUAUUUUGCUUAGCAUGAUAUUCUCUGACUCCAUCCAUUUACCUGCAAAUGCCAUAAUUUUAUUCUCUUUUAAUGCUGAGUAAUAUUCCAUUGUGUAUAUGUACCACAGUUUCUUUAUCCAUUUAUCUACUGAAGGGCAUCUAGGUUGCUUCCACAGUUUAGCUAUUGUGAAUUGUACUGCUAUAAACAUUGAUGUGGCUGUGUCCCUAUAGUAUUCUGUUUUUAAGUCCUUUGGGUAUAGAUUGAGGAGUGGGAUAGCUGGUCAAAUGGUGGUUCCAUUCUCAGUUUUCCAAGGACUCUUCAUAUUUCAUAUUGAUUCUGUCUAUCCAAAAACAUGGGGUGUCUUCCCA
Molecule: long non-coding RNA, 1792 nt
Filed under: Marmota monax (woodchuck)
Lineage: Eukaryota; Metazoa; Chordata; Mammalia; Rodentia; Sciuridae
Source: RNAcentral